AAUAUAUCGGAACGUACCUUUGAGUGGGGGAUAACUAGUCGAAAGAUUAGCUAAUACCGCAUACGAUCUACGGAUGAAAGUGGGGGACCCGUAAGGGCCUCAUGCUCAUAGAGCGGCCGAUAUCUGAUUAGCUAGUUGGUGAGGUAAAGGCUCACCAAGGCUUCGAUCAGUAGCUGGUCUGAGAGGACGACCAGCCACACUGGGACUGAGACACGGCCCAGACUCCUACGGGAGGCAGCAGUGGGGAAUUUUGGACAAUGGGGGCAACCCUGAUCCAGCAAUGCCGCGUGAGUGAAGAAGGCCUUCGGGUUGUAAAGCUCUUUUGUCAGGGAAGAAACGGGAUGUCCUAAUACGGUGUCCUAAUGACGGUACCUGAAGAAUAAGCACCGGCUAACUACGUGCCAGCAGCCGCGGUAAUACGUAGGGUGCAAGCGUUAAUCGGAAUUACUGGGCGUAAAGCGUGCGCAGGCGGUUAUGUAAGACAGGUGUGAAAUCCCCGGGCUUA
RNAcentral lists this ribosomal RNA (505 nucleotides) under Collimonas sp. CB20. Its description in RNAcentral is "bacterial SSU rRNA". It matches the Rfam family "Bacterial small subunit ribosomal RNA", at positions 112 to 611 of the family's 1533-position model. The record is from RNAcentral. Lineage: Bacteria; Pseudomonadati; Pseudomonadota; Betaproteobacteria; Burkholderiales; Oxalobacteraceae.